UGAGGCCCAUUGGUUGUGAAUCACUCAGCAAGGGUGGUAUUGAGUCAAAAUCAGAGGUGCAAGAGGUAUUUUGGAUAGGCCUAGGGCCCUUAGCCCCAAAGCUAAUACACAAGAGGGAAUGGCUCAUGUUUCAUUCCAAUCACCAUGUUUAGACCAUCAACCCUUAUCAACCUUGGCCAAAAAACAUUACCUCUGCCGCGCCGGAAAUCGCCUCCGACGGUGGCGGAGAGGCAAACACCUCAACCUUCAUAUCAAUCCAUGUGUUUCACCGCCUUUAAUCCAAAUCCCACCUUGCUUUUCUCUGAUUAUUAAAUAAGAAUUAAAAUCGAAACCUAAACAUCAAGAACCCUAAAUCCUAAAACCCAUAAAUUAACCUUCAAUCAACCCAAUUCCGAUCCAUAACCAUAUGGAUAUCACUCUACAACACUUAUAUAAUCAAUUGGUAGCGAAAAUAGAAGAGAACAAGAAGAAUCGAGGGAGCCUAUCAGAGCAUCUUAGAGAUGAAGAUGCAAAAAUAAUCAUGUAUUUUGAGUAAGGAUUUUGAAAUUGGAAUUGUGGAUUGUUGGUUGUAAUGUGAUAACUAUGCUUGAAUGUUAAUGUUAGCUUCAUGAACUUGAAUUGAGGAAUUGUGAUUGGUUUGUUUGAUGGAGGGCUGGUAUGGGCUUGAGAUGAGGAUAUGCUCAUGAAGGUUUUGGUCAAGGUAUGGCACAAAGUUGGCAUGGAAUCACAUGGAUCAUGAAGAAACCUUUGGCAAUUCAAGGCAUGUGAAGUUUGGAGUCAUCAAAGACUAUGAAUUGGGAAAUGAUUUAGGAUAACAUAGUUAACUUUAGUCAACCGUUUGACCAAAAAGUCAAUAGUUGACCAAAAGUUAACUGUAGGUGAAAAUGUAAUUUGUAUGAAAUUGUGAUAUUGUAUUUGGUGUAUUGAAAGUGUAAUCUUUUGGAAAUGAAAAGUCUUUUAUAUUAA
Long non-coding RNA from Lathyrus oleraceus (garden pea), 966 nucleotides. RefSeq lists it as uncharacterized. The transcript is spliced from 2 exons. The record is from RefSeq and is a predicted model, not a curated record. Lineage: Eukaryota; Viridiplantae; Streptophyta; Magnoliopsida; Fabales; Fabaceae.